RNAcentral lists this ribosomal RNA (665 nucleotides) under Mucoromycotina sp. UNEX FECRGA 2012E063. RNAcentral's name for it is "eukaryotic LSU rRNA". The stretch from base 284 to 436 matches the Rfam family "5.8S ribosomal RNA". Lineage: Eukaryota; Fungi; Mucoromycota. The record is from RNAcentral.
UAGAGGAAGUAAAAGUCGUAACAAGGUUUCCGUAGGUGAACCUGCGGAAGGAUCAUUAAAUAAUUUAGAUGGCCUUUGCUAGUUUUCUAGCGAAUGGUUCAUUCUUUUUUACUGUGAACUGUUUUAAUUUUUCAGCGUCUGAGGAAUGUCUUUUAGCCAUAGGGAUAGGCUACUAGAAUGUUAACCGAGCUGAAAGUCAGGCUUAGGCCUGGUAUCCUAUUAAUUAUUUACCAAAAGAAUUCAGUAUUAUAAUUGUAACAUAAGCGUAAAAAACUUAUAAAACAACUUUUAACAACGGAUCUCUUGGUUCUCGCAUCGAUGAAGAACGUAGCAAAGUGCGAUAACUAGUGUGAAUUGCAUAUUCAGUGAAUCAUCGAGUCUUUGAACGCAACUUGCGCUCAAUGGUAUUCCAUUGAGCACGCCUGUUUCAGUAUCAAAAACACCCCACAUUCAUAAUUUUGUUGUGAAUGGAAAUGAGAGUUUCGGCUUUAUUGCUGAAUUCUUUAAAAUUAUUAGGCCUGAACUAUUGUUCUUUCUGCCUGAACAUUUUUUUAAUAUAAAGGAAUGCUCUAGUAAAAAGACUAUCUCUGGGGCCUCCCAAAUAAAUCAUUCUUAAAUUUGAUCUGAAUCAGGCGGGAUUACCCGCUGAACUUAAGCAUAUCAUA